RNAcentral lists this ribosomal RNA (301 nucleotides) under uncultured bacterium. Its description in RNAcentral is "partial 16S ribosomal RNA". It matches the Rfam family "Bacterial small subunit ribosomal RNA", at positions 509 to 807 of the family's 1533-position model. The record is from RNAcentral.
CAGCAGCCACGGUAAAACGGAGGGUGCAAGCGUUAAUCGGAAUUACUGGGCGUAAAGCGCACGCAGGCGGUCUGACAAGUCAGAUGUGAAAUCCCCGGGCUUAACCUGGGAACUGCAUUUGUGACUGUAUAGCUAGAGUACGGCAGAGGGGGAUGGAAUUCCGCGUGUAGCAGUGAAAUGCGUAGAUAUGCGGAGGAACACCGAUGGCGAAGGCAAUCCCCUGGGCCUGUACUGACGCUCAUGCACGAAAGCGUGGGGAGCAAACAGGAUUAGAUACCCCCGUAGUCCCUGUCUCUUAUAC